GACGAACGCUGGCGGCGUGCCUAAUACAUGCAAGUCGAACGCUUCUUUCCUCCCGAGUGCUUGCACUCAAUUGGAAAGAGGAGUGGCGGACGGGUGAGUAACACGUGGGUAACCUACCCAUCAGAGGGGGAUAACACUUGGAAACAGGUGCUAAUACCGCAUAACAGUUUAUGCCGCAUGGCAUAAGAGUGAAAGGCGCUUUCGGGUGUCGCUGAUGGAUGGACCCGCGGUGCAUUAGCUAGUUGGUGAGGUAACGGCUCACCAAGGCCACGAUGCAUAGCCGACCUGAGAGGGUGAUCG
Molecule: ribosomal RNA, 300 nt
Filed under: Enterococcus faecalis
Lineage: Bacteria; Bacillati; Bacillota; Bacilli; Lactobacillales; Enterococcaceae
Description: bacterial SSU rRNA
Rfam family: Bacterial small subunit ribosomal RNA
Source: RNAcentral